UAUUUCUCUUGUAUACAAUAGCCGACUGAGCAAAUUUGUUGGUGGCUUUAUGGCCAAUUUUAUCAUUAUAUUUUCAGUCUUUCCCAAUGCUUCUGUUGUCAUAUUCGCAGCACCGUUGAUCAAUUCAGUGGAGAAAGCACACCAGUAAUCCUGCCUUUGAAAGAAAAACAGGUUUCGGCUGCAAGGACUUGCAAUUGUAUAUUUGUAUAUAUUUUUUGCUUCAGCAAAGGCAGCGUGACAUUGAGUUUAGGAAAUCUGAUAAUGAACAGAGAUAGAGGAAAUUGAUGGUUCAAGUUCAAGCUUCAGUCAACUGUUUGGAAUUGAAGUUUAACAAGGAUCUACCUUCCGCAUUGCGCAAUAAAAGUUAUGUUUGGUAACCAACCCUUUACUUUAUUAAUUAGUAAUCAAAUGUGAAUAUUUCUACUAGCAACUAAGUCAUAACAUUGUUACUUAAUUGAACCUUCUUGAUGUCUUUUACAGGGAGCUAUCACUAAACAAAUGACUGCAAUAGAAGAAAUAGUUGCAAGUGAGUACAAUUAGCCAGACCCUCAUCUUUGUGACAAGAUCUUGAAGUUGGUCAUUUGUGAAACGUUCUAGUUUACUAUUAGUU
Cucumis melo (muskmelon) is the source of this 610-nucleotide long non-coding RNA. RefSeq lists it as uncharacterized. The record is from RefSeq and is a predicted model, not a curated record. Lineage: Eukaryota; Viridiplantae; Streptophyta; Magnoliopsida; Cucurbitales; Cucurbitaceae. The transcript is spliced from 4 exons.